Molecule: ribosomal RNA, 330 nt
Filed under: uncultured bacterium
Lineage: Bacteria
Description: bacterial SSU rRNA
Rfam family: Bacterial small subunit ribosomal RNA
Source: RNAcentral
GACGAACGCUGGCGGCGUGCUUAACACAUGCAAGUCGAACGAGACGAUUUAGAAGCUUGCUUUUAUUGAGUCGAGUGGCAAACGGGUGAGUAACGCGUAGACAACCUGCCGCAAAGAUGGGGACAACAGUCCGAAAGGACUGCUAAUACCGAAUGUUGUAUCUCCUCCGCAUGGAAGAGAUAUUAAAGAUGGCCUCUACUUGUAAGCUAUCGCUUUGCGAUGGGUCUGCGUCUGAUUAGCUAGUUGGUGGGGCAAACGGGCCUACCAAGGCGACGAUCAGUAGCCGGUCUGAGAGGAUGAACGGCCACAUUGGAACUGAGACACGGUCCA